RNAcentral lists this ribosomal RNA (444 nucleotides) under uncultured bacterium. Its description in RNAcentral is "bacterial SSU rRNA". It matches the Rfam family "Bacterial small subunit ribosomal RNA", at positions 29 to 517 of the family's 1533-position model. The record is from RNAcentral.
AACGAACGCUGGCGGCAUGCCUAACACAUGCAAGUCGAACGAGACCUUCGGGUCUAGUGGCGCACGGGUGCGUAACGCGUGGGAAUCUGCCCUUGGGUUCGGAAUAACAGCGAGAAAUUGCUGCUAAUACCGGAUGAUGACGUAAGUCCAAAGAUUUAUCGCCCAAGGAUGAGCCCGCGUAGGAUUAGCUAGUUGGUGAGGUAAAGGCUCACCAAGGCGACGAUCCUUAGCUGGUCUGAGAGGAUAAUCAGCCACACUGGGACUGAGACACGGCCCAGACUCCUACGGGAGGCAGCAGUGGGGAAUAUUGGACAAUGGGCGAAAGCCUGAUCCAGCAAUGCCGCGUGAGUGAUGAAGGCCUUAGGGUUGUAAAGCUCUUUUACCCGGGAUGAUAAUGACAGUACCGGGAGAAUAAGCUCCGGCUAAACUCCGUGCCAGCAGCCG